Molecule: ribosomal RNA, 253 nt
Filed under: uncultured bacterium
Lineage: Bacteria
Description: partial 16S ribosomal RNA
Rfam family: Bacterial small subunit ribosomal RNA
Source: RNAcentral
UACAGAGGUGGCAAGCGUUGUUCGGAAUUACUGGGCGUAAAGGGCGCGUAGGCGGUCUUCUAAGUCUUGUGUGAAAUCCCUCGGCUUAACUGAGGAACUGCACGGGAUACUGGAUGACUUGAGUUCGGGAGAGGGAAGCGGAAUUCCGGGUGUAGCGGUGAAAUGCGUAGAUAUCCGGAGGAACACCGGUGGCGAAGGCGGCUUUCUGGGCCUGUUCUGACGCUGAGGAGCGAAAGCGUGGGGAGCAAACCGG